Molecule: ribosomal RNA, 253 nt
Filed under: uncultured bacterium
Lineage: Bacteria
Description: partial 16S ribosomal RNA
Rfam family: Bacterial small subunit ribosomal RNA
Source: RNAcentral
UACGUAGGGUCCAAGCGUUAUCCGGAAUCACUGGGCGUAAAGCGUGCGUAGGUGGCGUGUUAAGUGUGAUGUUAAAUCGUGGGGCUCAACCCUGUCGGUGCAUCACAUACUGGCAUGCUAGAGGGAAGCAGAGGCAAGUGGAAUUUGUAGUGUAGCAGUGAAAUGCGUAGAUAUUACAAGGAACACCAAUGGCGAAGGCAGCUUGCUGGGCUUCUUCUGACACUGAGGCACGAAAGCCGGGGGAGCAAACAGG